ACGUGAAUGUGUGUUCCAACAUGCAUGGAAUGGAACUGGAACCAUUCAGCUUUGUAUCCUAGGAACUAUAAGGAAAAACAGUAAAACCCGAUUUUCCUUUAACACACUGUAGCGGAUGUCUAUGUCUUUGAAACAUGAAGAUUUCAGCUGCAACCCUGUUUACUUCAUAAAGGUCUGAGUGGUCAGUGUGUGCACUAAGACAAACAAACUGAAGUCAGAACAACAAGCACGCCACAGAAGAAGAAGCUGCCGGAAUUAUACUAUGUGCAUGAACAAAUAUGCCUAGUGCCGGAGUACGUCAUCUUGCAAAUACAGACUCUCCAUCCCCCUGCCUGCUUCUACCACACAGCAGCAUAAAAACGACUUGUUAUGUGUGGGUACAAUGGAAGGGCUAGUGCACUCCAGAAACGUUCAAGGAAGAAACCUUGUUUGCAGGCAAAAUAGUUUUUUUAACGUAGCCAGCUUUAUGCAGCUCACGGAUGACAGCUCUCAAAAUGCUCUAGUCUGCCAUUAGAGAUGAGCAUGUGUAAUUUGCGAUGAAUAAUUUACAAAAUGUCUCUCAGCAGA
Non-coding RNA from Pelodiscus sinensis (Chinese soft-shelled turtle), 567 nucleotides. NCBI's taxonomy places the organism in Eukaryota, Metazoa, Chordata, Testudines, Trionychidae. The record is from RefSeq and is a predicted model, not a curated record.